This is a non-coding RNA of Pelobates cultripes (western spadefoot toad), 530 nucleotides long. The record is from the annotation of a GenBank genome assembly. NCBI's taxonomy places the organism in Eukaryota, Metazoa, Chordata, Amphibia, Anura, Pelobatidae.
UAGAUUAGGAGCAUAUCAUUAGGGAUAUAUUAGGGACAGUAGCAGUUGUUAUGGUAAAUAGCCAUUUUAGGGGGGACUGUUGUGGAAAUAAGGUCUACACAUAUUUCCUAGUUAAAGGAAAAUGUCUAUUUACUCAUCUCACACUAUGCUAUAGAGUUAAGCACACAUGUUUAAUCAAAAUGGCUGCUAGAAGCUUCUAACCCCUUCCUCCCCCUGCCCCUUUAAACACCGACUAACUACCUCGUGCAGCAAGAUGGCGCUGGAAUCCUGGGGGAGAACUCCAUGACGACAGUAAUGACAUAAGAAGGCACACCCUGUAGGACGUGCUUUGAAUAAGACACUUAACACUUAACCAAUUAUUGAUGUAUUAUUUCAUGUUAUCUCUGACAAUGCUUAUGAUGUAAUUUUGCUUUAAAAGGGACCUGCCGUCCCCUCUGAAUAAACUUUCCUCAAGUUAUUCAACAACCUGGAACCUGUGUCUGGUGUGAAUUACUUCAGGGAGCGUGCACGCAUUGUUUCAUUGAUUUGGC